This 229-nucleotide ribosomal RNA is filed under the name uncultured bacterium. Its description in RNAcentral is "partial 16S ribosomal RNA". It matches the Rfam family "Bacterial small subunit ribosomal RNA", at positions 568 to 796 of the family's 1533-position model. The record is from RNAcentral.
UCCGUAGGCGGGUAAUCAAGUCAGAGGUGAAAUCCCACAGCUUAACUGUGGAACUGCCUUAGAUACUGGUUAUCUUGAGUUUUAGUGAAGUAGAUAGAAUGUGUAGUGUAGCGGUGAAAUGCAUAGAUAUUACACAGAAUACCGAUUGCGAAGGCAGUCUACUAACUAACAACUGACGCUAAUGGACGAAAGCGUGGGGAGCGAACAGGAUUAGAUACCCUGGUAGUCC